UACGGGGGGGGCAAGCGUUGUUCGGAGUUACUGGGCGUAAAGGGUUCGUAGGUGGCUUGCUAAGUCAGACGUGAAAUCCCUCAGCUUAACUGGGGAACUGCGUCUGAGACUGGCGAGCUUGAGGGUAGGAGAGGAACGCAGAAUUCCAGGUGUAGCGGUGAAAUGCGUAGAUAUCUGGAGGAAUACCGGUGGCGAAGGCGGCGUUCUGGACUACAUCUGACACUGAGGAACGAAAGCCAGGGGAGCAAACGGG
RNAcentral lists this ribosomal RNA (253 nucleotides) under uncultured bacterium. Its description in RNAcentral is "partial 16S ribosomal RNA". It matches the Rfam family "Bacterial small subunit ribosomal RNA", at positions 524 to 776 of the family's 1533-position model. The record is from RNAcentral.